This 509-nucleotide ribosomal RNA is filed under the name Myceliophthora lutea. Its description in RNAcentral is "eukaryotic LSU rRNA". It matches the Rfam family "Eukaryotic large subunit ribosomal RNA", at positions 81 to 602 of the family's 3401-position model. The record is from RNAcentral. Lineage: Eukaryota; Fungi; Ascomycota; Sordariomycetes; Sordariales; Chaetomiaceae.
UAGUAACGGCGAGUGAAGCGGCAACAGCUCAAAUUUGAAAUCUGGCUUCGGCCCGAGUUGUAAUUUGCAGAGGAAGCUUUAGGCGCGGCACCUUCUGAGUCCCCUGGAACGGGGCGCCAUAGAGGGUGAGAGCCCCGUAUAGUUGGAUGCCUAGCCUGUGUAAAGCUCCUUCGACGAGUCGAGUAGUUUGGGAAUGCUGCUCAAAAUGGGAGGUAAAUUUCUUCUAAAGCUAAAUACCGGCCAGAGACCGAUAGCGCACAAGUAGAGUGAUCGAAAGAUGAAAAGCACUUUGAAAAGAGGGUUAAAUAGCACGUGAAAUUGUUGAAAGGGAAGCGCUUGUGACCAGACUUGCGCCGGGCUGAUCAUCCGGUGUUCUCACCGGUGCACUCUGCCCGGCUCAGGCCAGCAUCGGUUCUCGCGGGGGGAUAAAGGCCCCGGGAAUGUAGCUCCCACGGGAGUGUUAUAGCCCGGGGCGUAAUGCCCUCGCGGGGACCGAGGUUCGCGCAUCU